This 242-nucleotide long non-coding RNA is filed under the name Nicotiana benthamiana. RNAcentral's name for it is "long non-coding RNA (NBEN_LNC001547)". The record is from RNAcentral. Lineage: Eukaryota; Viridiplantae; Streptophyta; Magnoliopsida; Solanales; Solanaceae.
UAUUAGAUCAAAUAAUUUUAACUUAGUUGGCUUAGUUGAGACAAAGGUUAAGGAGGUUAAUGUAGACAGAAUUGUUAAGCUGUUGGCACCUGAUUGGAGUCUUCUUUCUAAUUAUAAAGGAUCAGCUAAUGGCAGAAUUUGGGUACUAUGGAAAUUCCAAGAAGAUAUUGGUCACUGGUAUUCAAGAGGAUGCUCAAUUUCUUCAUUGUAAGGUCAUGACCUAUACAGGUGUUCUGGUUUGC